AGCAAAAAUGAUGAAAUUUGAUAUAUGUUACUGAAAAUUGAAAUGUUGAAUUCAAUGUCAUUUAGGUCUUCAAAGUUCUCUGAUUGCU
This 88-nucleotide small nucleolar RNA is filed under the name Cephalotus follicularis. RNAcentral's name for it is "Small nucleolar RNA R160". It matches the Rfam family "Small nucleolar RNA R160". Rfam says of the family: snoR160 is a C/D box small nucleolar RNA, which acts as a methylation guide for 25S ribosomal RNA in plants. snoR160 has been alternatively named snoZ270 in rice. The record is from Rfam by way of RNAcentral. Lineage: Eukaryota; Viridiplantae; Streptophyta; Magnoliopsida; Oxalidales; Cephalotaceae.